Molecule: non-coding RNA, 143 nt
Filed under: Vombatus ursinus (common wombat)
Lineage: Eukaryota; Metazoa; Chordata; Mammalia; Diprotodontia; Vombatidae
Source: RNAcentral
ACAUUAAAAAAAAGGAGGGAAGGUUAGCAUUUCCCUUGAUCAGGAGGGUAAAGGUUCUAGUGACCUUUACAAUACAUAUAUAAUUAAGGCAUUGCCACCUUGUUUGAAGACAACAUGGUACAGUAUAAGAGUGACAAUUUUGG